CCUAGGGGAGCGUUUUGUCCACGUCAUCACAAAGCGCUUCCUUGAGGGCACGCUUUGUGCUGACGUGGACAAAAUGCUCCCUCAGGG
Gossypium hirsutum (cotton) is the source of this 87-nucleotide non-coding RNA. The record is from Rfam. NCBI's taxonomy places the organism in Eukaryota, Viridiplantae, Streptophyta, Magnoliopsida, Malvales, Malvaceae.